UUAGAUUGCUAGCUAAUCGCUUGUACAUUUAUGUGCCAGAGGAAAGUCCGGGCAGCAUAGGGAAUGACAGCCGCUAACGGCGGCCGGGGGUGACCCUAGGGAAAGUGCCACAGAAACGAUACUUCCUGGUUUUACCAGGUAAAGGUGAAACGCGCGAGGUAAGAGCUCGUAGUCGCGCAUGGUAACAUGCGAGAGAGGUAAACCCUGUCUGCUGCAAGGAGUGAGCUAAAUACGUUCCCGCGAUGCUCACGUUUGACCCCGCUUGAGCCUGCAAGCAAUUGCAGGCCUAGAUAGAUGAUUAGCGCUUUCGUAAGAAAGACACAAAACCCGGCUUACCGGUAAUCUACCAGU
RNAcentral lists this RNase P RNA (351 nucleotides) under Candidatus Saccharimonadota bacterium. RNAcentral describes it as "Candidatus Saccharibacteria bacterium RNase P RNA component class A". It matches the Rfam family "Bacterial RNase P class A". Rfam says of the family: Ribonuclease P (RNase P) is a ubiquitous endoribonuclease, found in archaea, bacteria and eukarya as well as chloroplasts and mitochondria. Its best characterised activity is the generation of mature 5'-ends of tRNAs by cleaving the 5'-leader elements of precursor-tRNAs. Lineage: Bacteria; Candidatus Saccharimonadota. The record is from RNAcentral.